GGGUUGUGAGGUUAAGCGACUAAGCGUACACGGUGGAUGCCCUGGCAGUCAGAGGCGAUGAAGGACGUGCUAAUCUGCGAAAAGCGUCGGUAAGGUGAUAUGAACCGUUAUAACCGGCGAUGUCCGAAUGGGGAAACCCAGUGCAAUUCGUUGCACUAUCGUUAACUGAAUACAUAGGUUAACGAGGCGAACCGGGGGAACUGAAACAUCUAAGUACCCCGAGGAAAAGAAAUCAACCGAGAUUCCCCCAGUAGCGGCGAGCGAACGGGGAGCAGCCCAGAGUCUGAAUCAGCUUGUGUGUUAGUGGAACGGUCUGGAAAGUCCGACGGUACAGGGUGAUAGUCCCGUACACCAAAAUGCACAGGUUGUGAACUCGAAGAGUAGGGCGGGACACGUGGUAUCCUGUCUGAAUAUGGGGGGACCAUCCUCCAAGGCUAAAUACUCCUGACUGACCGAUAGUGAACCAGUACCGUGAGGGAAAGGCGAAAAGAACCCCGGCGAGGGGAGUGAAAAAGAACCUGAAACCGUGUACGUACAAGCAGUGGGAGCACCUUCGGGUGUGACUGCGUACCUUUUGUAUAAUGGGUCAGCGACUUAUAUUCUGUAGCAAGGUUAACCGUAUAGGGGAGCCGCAGGGAAACCGAGUCUUAACUGGGCGUUAAGUUGCAGGGUAUAGACCCGAAACCCGGUGAUCUAGCCAUGGGCAGGUUGAAGGUUGGGUAACACUAACUGGAGGACCGAACCGACUAAUGUUGAAAAAUUAGCGGAUGACUUGUGGCUGGGGGUGAAAGGCCAAUCAAACCGGGAGAUAGCUGGUUCUCCCCGAAAGCUAUUUAGGUAGCGCCUCGUGAACUCAUCUUCGGGGGUAGAGCACUGUUUCGGCUAGGGGGUCAUCCCGACUUACCAACCCGAUGCAAACUACGAAUACCGAAGAAUGUUAUCACGGGAGACACACGGCGGGUGCUAACGUCCGUCGUGAAGAGGGAAACAACCCAGACCGCCAGCUAAGGUCCCAAAGUCAUGGUUAAGUGGGAAACGAUGUGGGAAGGCACAGACAGCCAGGAUGUUGGCUUAGAAGCAGCCAUCAUUUAAAGAAAGCGUAAUAGCUCACUGGUCGAGUCGGCCUGCGCGGAAGAUGUAACGGGGCUAAACCAUGCACCGAAGCUGCGGCAGCGACACUAUGUGUUGUUGGGUAGGGGAGCGUUCUGUAAGCCUGCGAAGGUGUGCUGUGAGGCAUGCUGGAGGUAUCAGAAGUGCGAAUGCUGACAUAAGUAACGAUAAAGCGGGUGAAAAGCCCGCUCGCCGGAAGACCAAGGGUUCCUGUCCAACGUUAAUCGGGGCAGGGUGAGUCGACCCCUAAGGCGAGGCCGAAAGGCGUAGUCGAUGGGAAACAGGUUAAUAUUCCUGUACUUGGUGUUACUGCGAAGGGGGGACGGAGAAGGCUAUGUUAGCCGGGCGACGGUUGUCCCGGUUUAAGCAUGUAGGCUGGUUGUCCAGGCAAAUCCGGAUAAUCAAGGCUGAGGUGUGAUGACGAGGCACUACGGUGCUGAAGUAACAAAUGCCCUGCUUCCAGGAAAAGCCUCUAAGCAUCAGGUAACAUCAAAUCGUACCCCAAACCGACACAGGUGGUCAGGUAGAGAAUACCAAGGCGCUUGAGAGAACUCGGGUGAAGGAACUAGGCAAAAUGGUGCCGUAACUUCGGGAGAAGGCACGCUGGUGUGUAGGUGAAGUCCCUGCGGAUGGAGCUGAGACCAGUCGAAGAUACCAGCUGGCUGCAACUGUUUAUUAAAAACACAGCACUGUGCAAACACGAAAGUGGACGUAUACGGUGUGACGCCUGCCCGGUGCCGGAAGGUUAAUUGAUGGGGUUAUCCGUAAGGAGAAGCUCUUGAUCGAAGCCCCGGUAAACGGCGGCCGUAACUAUAACGGUCCUAAGGUAGCGAAAUUCCUUGUCGGGUAAGUUCCGACCUGCACGAAUGGCGUAAUGAUGGCCAGGCUGUCUCCACCCGAGACUCAGUGAAAUUGAACUCGCUGUGAAGAUGCAGUGUACCCGCGGCAAGACGGAAAGACCCCGUGAACCUUUACUAUAGCUUGACACUGAACAUUGAGCCUUGAUGUGUAGGAUAGGUGGGAGGCUUUGAAGCGUGGACGCCAGUCUGCGUGGAGCCAACCUUGAAAUACCACCCUUUAAUGUUUGAUGUUCUAACGUUGGCCCCUGACCGGGGUUGCGGACAGUGUCUGGUGGGUAGUUUGACUGGGGCGGUCUCCUCCCAAAGCGUAACGGAGGAGCACGAAGGUUAGCUAAUCCUGGUCGGACAUCAGGAGGUUAGUGCAAUGGCAUAAGCUAGCUUGACUGCGAGCGUGACGGCGCGAGCAGGUGCGAAAGCAGGUCAUAGUGAUCCGGUGGUUCUGAAUGGAAGGGCCAUCGCUCAACGGAUAAAAGGUACUCCGGGGAUAACAGGCUGAUACCGCCCAAGAGUUCAUAUCGACGGCGGUGUUUGGCACCUCGAUGUCGGCUCAUCACAUCCUGGGGCUGAAGUAGGUCCCAAGGGUAUGGCUGUUCGCCAUUUAAAGUGGUACGCGAGCUGGGUUUAGAACGUCGUGAGACAGUUCGGUCCCUAUCUGCCGUGGGCGCUGGAGAAUUGAGGGGGGCUGCUCCUAGUACGAGAGGACCGGAGUGGACGCAUCACUGGUGUUCGGGUUGUCAUGCCAAUGGCACUGCCCGGUAGCUAAAUGCGGAAGAGAUAAGUGCUGAAAGCAUCUAAGCACGAAACUUGCCCCGAGAUGAGUUCUCCCUGAGACUUUAAGUCUCCUGAAGGAACGUUAAAGACGAUGACGUUGAUAGGCCGGGUGUGUAAGCGCAGCGAUGCGUUGAGCUAACCGGUACUAAUGAACCGUGAGGCUUAACCUUACAACGCCGAAG
Molecule: ribosomal RNA, 2923 nt
Filed under: Klebsiella pneumoniae
Lineage: Bacteria; Pseudomonadati; Pseudomonadota; Gammaproteobacteria; Enterobacterales; Enterobacteriaceae
Description: bacterial LSU rRNA
Rfam family: Bacterial large subunit ribosomal RNA
Source: RNAcentral